This 256-nucleotide long non-coding RNA is filed under the name Marmota monax (woodchuck). Lineage: Eukaryota; Metazoa; Chordata; Mammalia; Rodentia; Sciuridae. The record is from RNAcentral.
CGCCCCUGAGCUGUCAGAGUUCUGUCUUCUGUCCUGCCUGGGCCUGGCCAGUCAGAAGGGGAACUGCUGGGGGGCAAGUUUCUUUCUUUUUUUUUUUUUUUAAGAGAGAAUGGGAGAGAGAGAGAGAGACAGAGAGAGAGAGAGAGAGAGAGAGAGAGAGAGAGAGUGAGAAUUUUUUUUUUUAAUAUUUAUUUUUUAGUUCUGGGCUGACACAACAUCUUUGUUUGUACGUGGUGCUGAGGAUCGAACCCGGGCC